GUCGAACGCUGGCGGCAGGCCUAAUACAUGCAAGUCGAACGAGUGGCGGACGGGUGAGUAAUGUCUGGGAAACUGCCUGCUGGAGGGGGAUAACUACUGGAAACGGUAGCUAAUACCGCAUACCACCAUAUCUGCCCAGAUGGGUUUAGCUAGUUGGUGGGGUAUCGGCUCACCAAGGCGACGAUCCCUAGCCGGUCUGAGAGGAUGACCGGCCACACUGGAACUGAGACACGGUCCAGACUCCUACGGGAGGCAGCAGUGGGAAAUAUUGCACAAUGGGCGCAAGCCGGAUGCAGCCAUGCCGCGUGUAUGAAGAGGGCCUUCGGGUUGUAAAGUACUUUCAGCAGGGAGGCGUUACCCGCAGAAGAAGCACCGGCUAACUCCGUGCCAGCAGCCGCGGUAAUUC
RNAcentral lists this ribosomal RNA (406 nucleotides) under uncultured bacterium. RNAcentral describes it as "partial 16S ribosomal RNA". It matches the Rfam family "Bacterial small subunit ribosomal RNA", at positions 28 to 526 of the family's 1533-position model. The record is from RNAcentral.